RNAcentral lists this ribosomal RNA (540 nucleotides) under uncultured bacterium. RNAcentral describes it as "bacterial SSU rRNA". It matches the Rfam family "Bacterial small subunit ribosomal RNA", at positions 772 to 1317 of the family's 1533-position model. The record is from RNAcentral.
ACGCAAUAGAUACCCCGGUAGUCCACGCCCUAAACGAUGUCUACUAGUUGUCGGGUCUUAAUUGACUUGGUAAACGCAGCUAAACGCGUGAAGUAGACCGCCUGGGGAGUACGGUCGCAAGAUUAAAACUCAAAGGAAUUGACGGGGACCCGCACAAGCGGUGGAUGAUGUGGAUUAAUUCGAUGCAACGCGAAAAACCUUACCUACCCUUGACAUGGAUGGAAUCCCUGAGAGAUUGGGGAGUGCUCGAAAGAGAACCAUUACACAGGUGCUGCAUGGCUGUCGUCAGCUCGUGUCGUGAGAUGUUGGGUUAAGUCCCGCAACGAGCGCAACCCUUGUCAUUAGUUGCUACGAAAGGGCACUCUAAUGAGACUGCCGGUGACAAACCGGAGGAAGGUGGGGAUGACGUCAAGUCCUCAUGGCCCUUAUGGGUAGGGCUUCACACGUCAUACAAUGGUACAUACAGAGGGCCGCCAACCCGCGAGGGGAGCUAAUCCCAGAAAGUGUAUCGUAGUCCGGAUUGUAGUCUGCAACUCGACU